AGGAGGGACAAGCUCCAGCCAGAGACAGAAAGACCAACACCAGAAAUAACCAGAUGGCAAAAGGCAAGCGCAAGAACCUUACCAACAGAAACCAAGGCUACUUGGCAUCAGACCCCAGUUCUCCCAUCACAGCAAGUCCUGGAUACCUCAACACACCGGAAAAGCAAGAUAUGGAUUUAAAAAUCACAUCUCAUUAUGCUGAUAGAGGAUUUUAAGAAGGACAUAAAUAACUCCCUUAAAGAAGUACAGGAGAACACAAGUAAACAAAUAGAAGCUUUAAAGAGGAAACAAAAAUCCCUUAAAGAAUUUCAGGAAAACACAACUGAACAGAUGAAGGAAUUAAACAAAACCAUCCAGGAUCUAAAAAUGGAAGUAGAAACAAAAAGAAAUCACAAAGGGAGACAUCUCCCCGGAUUUUAAUGGAACAGCUCUCUUAGACAAUCUUAGUUUGUGAGUAUUCCUUUAUUUGGGGUGGGUUUGCAUGCAUACACCCCUGGAUAGUGGGAAGGGGUUCUUCUUAGGGUUAAGUUUCAUUGGAGUUUAAAGUACUGUGAAUGUCUCCUUUGUGUGGAAAGGCAUUCCAGGAAUUCCAGAUAUGUGCAGGGCAAGUUUGGGGUUGGGGCAAGGGUGGGGGAGGGAGGACUAUGUGACAUUCUUCAGGUAGAAGAUUGUGGGUCAGAGGUCGGGUUCCCCAGAUCGGGCAGAGAAGAAACCCACCUAAGAAAAUGGAGUCCUACAUAUUGUAUCAAGCUCAAAGGAGCUAUCUGCACAGGAUAGACUAUAAUUUUGGUAGCAAGAAGCAACAAAUAGGGUGUUACAUAUUCUAGAAGAUACAGACUUUACAAGAUCGAAACACAGAGUUUAAAGUGAGAAUAACAAGGUUCUAACUGUUGAUGGUCCCAGAGAGGGCGAAAGUCAGGAGAACCAGGGCCAUAUUUGUUCCAGGAGAUUCCUCUUCAAGGUCUGAUCCCUUGGAUUGUAAAGCAACAACAAAAUCAUACCGAUGACAGAGCAGAUUAAAAGGAAGAUAGGAUAAGAUUUUAACCACUGAAUACUGAAAAUGUCAGAUGAAAAAGUCGUGAGAAAGACAGAAUUAAGUAAGGUUAUUGUUACCGAUUUAGAUAAAUCUACAUCAAUAGGCUUAUAUAAGUAAAGCCUAUCUUGAGGGGUGGCUAGAGAGAUCGUUCAGUGGUUAGGAGCACUUCCAAAGGACCAGGGCUUAGUUCAGUACCCACGUGGCAGCUCAUAACCAUCUCGAACUCCAGUUCCAGGGAUCUGGCACCCUCUUCUGGCCUCCAAGGGCAUUGCCCUCACAUGACAUACUGCCAUAUCUGUAGGCAAAUGUAAAGAUAAAUAGAACCUAUCUUUGUAUUAUACCUGGAGUGGUUGUGUUUGUCCUAUCUUGUGUGUCAGUAGACCAUACACAGGAUUUAAUAGGAAGGCCUGUACGUGUCCUAAAUUAUUGUCUCUUUUGAAGUUUAGUUUAGUUUUUAUUUUGUAUUUUAUUGCUAUACUUUACUGCUGGGUGUUUAAGAAGACUUGAAGAUAUUGUCCCCAGGGGUUGUUUGGAAUUGGGAGGAGCUAUGCUUCCUUCAGUCUUUCCUUUACCAGUUAAGCCCUCUGCUAGGAUGAGUCAGGCUCUGAUUAACCAUGCUGCUUCUUUAAAGAUAAGGGAACAUGUCCGUCCAUCUGUGUUCCUCUUUGCAGAAUUUGCACUGGUUAGAGUCUACUGUCUGGUCUCCUUGGUUUCUCUAGUCCAGAGGAUGGGCAACCCACACGGAGAUACAAGACCAUUUGAAAGAUGCCUGAUUGAAAGAUUGGAUUGAGCUGCCGAUUCCUGUGAGCUGUACUGCUGAUGUCCUGACAAUGCAGAUUGGAUUUGCUCCAAAGAACUAUUUCUAAACAGGUUCUUCUUUGCCCUAUUAAUCUUUCCUUCCCACUACCUCUGGUGUGGUGGGCUAGAAGGGACAUUAAAACAUUUAAGAACAACAACCCUCGAACUGUGAGGCUGUCAGCUUCAGACAAGAGAGACUAUUUACUUAAAUGGCCAAUUUUUGUUUAAAAUGGCCACUCAAAUUAAAAGGAAAAGUGAGGAUCUGGAGAGAGGCUCAGCAGUUAAGAACACUGACUGAUCUUCCAGAGGACCAGAGAUCAAUUCUUAGCAGCCACAUGGCGGCUCACAACCAUCUGUAACGGGCUCCCAUACCGUCUUCUGGUGUGUCUGAAGAUAGCUACAUUGUACUCAUUUAUUAUAAAAUAAAUAAAUAAAUCUGCUCUUC
Molecule: long non-coding RNA, 2279 nt
Filed under: Mus musculus (house mouse)
Lineage: Eukaryota; Metazoa; Chordata; Mammalia; Rodentia; Muridae
Description: ephemeron, early developmental lncRNA
Source: RNAcentral